AAGACACAUGCAAGCACUACAAAAUCCAUCCUUCCUUGAACAAACCCUGCAAUCACAUUCAUCCACAGGUAACAGAACCCUACAAGAAAGAUUUUUGCAUCUCAUGUUCAUGUAAAUCUCAGCUAAAUGGGAAGACGAGAUGCUGUUGUCCAUCAGAAGGAAAUCAGAACGCCCAGCUUUCAGUGCGACCAAGAUCUCCAACUGAGCGCGAUGAGAUUUUGUAAGCAAUUCCAGCGUUAUAUCAGUCCUGUUCCGCAGAGCAUCUUGAAAAGCACCAAGUUGUACAUUCGUAUCCAUGUUCAGCAUCAUCUGCCGGAUGUUUUCCUUCAGGCUAGUUAUGUAUCGAGUGGGCAUUUCAUGAAAUCUCUUGGUCAUUACAGGCAUCGAAUCGGAGAGAAUGUAUCUGAUGACCGUCUCAACAAAAUCAUGCCCACCAGCUUCCAGCCCAGUUAUCCAGGAAUUACUACCACUAAAAAAGUCCUUGGCUUUUUUCUU
RNAcentral lists this long non-coding RNA (495 nucleotides) under Arabidopsis lyrata. RNAcentral describes it as "long non-coding RNA (ALYR_LNC001854)". The record is from RNAcentral. Lineage: Eukaryota; Viridiplantae; Streptophyta; Magnoliopsida; Brassicales; Brassicaceae.